Cariama cristata (Red-legged seriema) is the source of this 791-nucleotide long non-coding RNA. RefSeq lists it as uncharacterized. NCBI's taxonomy places the organism in Eukaryota, Metazoa, Chordata, Aves, Cariamiformes, Cariamidae. The transcript has 3 exons. The record is from RefSeq and is a predicted model, not a curated record.
AUGAAUUUCAGUUUUCAGAUUAUUUUACUGGAUAUUUCAAUGGACAGUACUGGCUUUGGUGGAUAUUUCUUGUACUUGGACUCCUCCUUUUCUUUCGAGGCUUUGUUAAUUAUCUCAAAGUCAGAAAUAUGUCUGAAAGCAUGGCAGCUGCUCACAGAACAAGAUUUUUUUUCUUGUACUGAAGACUGCAUCGAACAGACAUUCCUUUCCUAUACCAUUGUGAAACUUCCAGAUGAUCUGUAGCCCUCUGAGUUAAUAGGAUAGAAGACUACUAAAACCAGAAGACAAAUUAGUGAAGAUACGGCUUCAAAAAUGAAUGACAGGAUGGUUUAUGCUCAAAUACCAGUUCUGGUCAUUCUAGUAAAUAUUUAUAAUUGCUGCCUUUUGUUUUAGCACAUUUGUAUAUGUGCUUAGGAAAAAGAUAGUAUUGAAGUAAGAACAAACCAUCUGUUAGUAUAGAUUAGGUACAGUCAGACUUGGUUAAUCUGUGCUUGUUGUAUCUGAAAGAUUUAAGUGGUAAUUUGUUUCACAGCGUGUAUGCACCACUGACUUGUUGAUCUGAACUUUGAGUACAAUGAAAUGCAUUAAAUGAUUCAGAUUAACGAGUUCAGACAGUUUUUUCUAUACUUUUGAUUCAUCUAAUGAUUGUGUAGACAUUUUUAAGUUUAUUAAACCCCAGAGUUCCUUGUUGUCACAAACUUUUAUUCGCCAAUAUUUUAUCAAAUUCAAACCAAUAUACUGGUUUGCUUAAAACUGAUACUCCACUUUGAGUCCCCUGUAAAUAACUCUGC